GACGAACGCUGGCGGCGUGCUUAACACAUGCAAGUCGAACGGAAAGGCCCUGCUGUUGUGGGGUGCUCGAGUGGCGAACGGGUGAGUAACACGUGAGUAACCUGCCCUUGACUUUGGGAUAACUUCAGGAAACUGGGGCUAAUACCGGAUAGGAGCUCCUGCUGCAUGGUGGGGGUUGGAAAGUUUCGGCGGUUGGGGAUGGACUCGCGGCUUAUCAGCUUGUUGGUGGGGUAGUGGCUUACCAAGGCUUUGACGGGUAGCCGGCCUGAGAGGGUGACCGGCCACAUUGGGACUGAGAUACGGCCCCGACUCCUACGGGAGGCAGCAGUGGGGAAUAUUGCACAAUGGGCGGAAGCCUGAUGCAGCAACGCCGCGUGCGGGAUGACGGCCUUCGGGUUGUAAACCGCUUUCGCCUGUGACGAAGCGUGAGUGACGGUAAUAGGUAAAGAAGCACCGGCUAACUACGUG
RNAcentral lists this ribosomal RNA (468 nucleotides) under uncultured bacterium. Its description in RNAcentral is "partial 16S ribosomal RNA". It matches the Rfam family "Bacterial small subunit ribosomal RNA", at positions 28 to 507 of the family's 1533-position model. The record is from RNAcentral.